GCUAGAGGUGGCAACUGCAUA
Molecule: microRNA, 21 nt
Filed under: Oryza sativa (Asian cultivated rice)
Lineage: Eukaryota; Viridiplantae; Streptophyta; Magnoliopsida; Poales; Poaceae
Also listed under: 1 other name
Description: osa-miR444a-5p
Gene: osa-miR444a-5p
Source: miRBase by way of RNAcentral